This 223-nucleotide unclassified non-coding RNA is filed under the name plant metagenome. RNAcentral describes it as "partial contains small subunit ribosomal RNA, internal transcribed spacer 1, and 5.8S ribosomal RNA". The record is from RNAcentral.
UUUCCGUAGGUGAACCUGCGGAAGGAUCAUUAAAGAGAAUAUCCCCUUCGGGGUAGAUCUCCCACCCUUUGUUUAUAUUACCUUUGUUGCUUUGGCAGGCCCGUCUUCGGACCACCGGCUUCGGCUGGUCAGUGCUUGCCAGAGGACCCAAAACUCUUAUUAUUAAUGUCGUCUGAGUACUAUAUAAUAGUUAAAACUUUCAACAACGGAUCUCUUGGUUCUG